UCUGCUCAAUGAUUUUUUAAAUUGCUGUGGUAUUUUGACUAUACAAAGGUAUUGAAAUAAGAUUUUAAUUGAAUGCUAAGAGAAUGGAAAUACAGGAAAAAACUUUUUUUAAAUUAAAAAUUGAAAUUUUUUUAAUUUGUGCAGAAACAAUUAUUAAUAUUAAGGACAAGAAGACCCUAUGAAUUUAUUAAAUUUUAUUUAAUAUGUAAUUACUAUUAGAAAAAUUUUGGCUGGGGCGGCUAAAAAAUAUUUUAAACUUUUUAAAAAUAAAAUGAUCCAUUAUUAAUGAUUAUAUGUUAAAUACUCUAGGGAUAACAGCG
RNAcentral lists this ribosomal RNA (320 nucleotides) under Rhipicephalus sp. Cyprus 4. RNAcentral's name for it is "partial 16S ribosomal RNA". Lineage: Eukaryota; Metazoa; Arthropoda; Arachnida; Ixodida; Ixodidae. The record is from RNAcentral.